GAUGAACGCUAGCGGCAGGCUUAACACAUGCAAGUCGAGGGGUAACAGGAGGAAGCUUGCUUCUUUGCUGACGACCGGCGAACGGGUGCGUAACGCGUAUAGAAUCUGCCUUGUACAGGAGGAUAGCCUUUAGAAAUGAAGAUUAAUACUCCAUAGAGUAGGGAAGUGGCAUCACUAUCUUACUAAAGAUUUAUCGGUACGAGAUGACUAUGCGUCCUAUUAGCUAGAUGGUAAGGUAACGGCUUACCAUGGCUACGAUAGGUAGGGGGUCUGAGAGGACUAUCCCCCACACUGGUACUGAGACACGGACCAGACUCCUACGGGAGGCAGCAGUGAGGAAUAUUGGUCAAUGGAGGCAACUCUGAACCAGCCAUGCCGCGUGCAGGAAGACUGCCCUAUGGGUUGUAAACUGCUUUUAUACAGGAAGAAACAGUCCUACGUGUAGGGCCUUGACGGUACUGUAAGAAUAAGCACCGGCUAACUCCG
RNAcentral lists this ribosomal RNA (486 nucleotides) under uncultured Tenacibaculum sp. Its description in RNAcentral is "bacterial SSU rRNA". It matches the Rfam family "Bacterial small subunit ribosomal RNA", at positions 28 to 505 of the family's 1533-position model. The record is from RNAcentral. Lineage: Bacteria; Pseudomonadati; Bacteroidota; Flavobacteriia; Flavobacteriales; Flavobacteriaceae.